UCCCGGUUGGCCCGGGCAGUCUCGCAUGAAAAAUACAACAUACGACAAGGGUUGCGCUCGUUGCGGGACUUAACCCAACAUCUCACGACACGAGCUGACGACGGCCAUGCAGCACCUGUCACUAGGCUCCCGAAGGCACCCCCGUAUUUCUACAGGGUUCCUAGGAUGUCAAGCCUCGGUAAGGUUCUUCGCGUAGCGUCAAAUUAAACCACAUCAUCCUCCGCUUGUGCGGGUCCCCGUCAAUUCCUUUGAGUUUUAGCCUUGCGGCCGUACUUCCCAGGCGGCAUACUUAACGCGUUAGCUUCGCCGCACAGGGGGUCGAUACCCCAUACGGCUAGUAUGCAUCGUUUACGGCGUGGACUAC
This 364-nucleotide unclassified non-coding RNA is filed under the name uncultured bacterium. Its description in RNAcentral is "contains 16S-23S intergenic spacer region". The record is from RNAcentral.